GACGAACGCUGGCGGCGUGCUUAACACAUGCAAGUCGAACGGGAAGGCCGUGCUUUUGUGGGGUGCUCGAGGGGCGAACGGGUGAGUAACACGUGAGUAAGCUGGCCUUGACUGGGGGAUAUCUUCAGGAAAGUGGGGCUAAUACCGGAUAGGAGCUCGUGCGGCAUGGUGGGGGUUGGAAAGUUUCGGCGGUUGGGGAUGGACUCGCGGUUUAUCAGCUGGUUGGUUGGGUAGUGGCUUACCAAGGCUUUGACGGGUAGCCGGCCUGGGAGGGUGACCUGCAACAUUGGGACUGGGAUACGGCACAGACUCGAACGGGAGGCAGUAGUGGAGUAUAUUACACAAUGGGCGGAGGCAUGAUGCGACAACGCCGCGUGCGGGAAGACGGCCUUGGGGUUGUAAACUGCUGUCGCCUGUGACGAAGCGUGAAUGACGGUACUGGCUAAAGAAGCACCGGCUAACUACGUG
This 468-nucleotide ribosomal RNA is filed under the name uncultured bacterium. Its description in RNAcentral is "partial 16S ribosomal RNA". It matches the Rfam family "Bacterial small subunit ribosomal RNA", at positions 28 to 507 of the family's 1533-position model. The record is from RNAcentral.